UGCCGCGUGUGUGAAGAAGGCCUUUUGGUUGUAAAGCACUUUAAGCAGUGAAGAAGACUCCAUGGUUAAUACCCAUGGACGAUGACAUUAGCUGCAGAAUAAGCACCGGCUAACUCUGUGCCAGCAGCCGCGGUAAUACAGAGGGUGCAAGCGUUAAUCGGAAUUACUGGGCGUAAAGGGAGCGUAGGUGGCUCUAUAAGUCAGAUGUGAAAUCCCCGGGCUUAACCUGGGAACUGCAUCUGAAACUGUAGAGCUAGAGUAUGUGAGAGGAAGGUAGAAUUCCAGGUGUAGCGGUGAAAUGCGUAGAGAUCUGGAGGAAUACCGAUGGCGAAGGCAGCCUUCUGGCAUAAUACUGACACUGAGGCUCGAAAGCGUGGGUAGCAAACAGGAUUAGAUACCCUGGUAGUCCACGCCGUAAACGAUGUCUACUAGUCGUUGGGUCCCUUGAGGACUUAGUGACGCAGCUAACGCAAUAAGUAG
Molecule: ribosomal RNA, 480 nt
Filed under: uncultured Moraxellaceae bacterium
Lineage: Bacteria; Pseudomonadati; Pseudomonadota; Gammaproteobacteria; Moraxellales; Moraxellaceae
Description: bacterial SSU rRNA
Rfam family: Bacterial small subunit ribosomal RNA
Source: RNAcentral